RNA transcript from Cynocephalus volans (Philippine flying lemur), 4535 nucleotides. It is a transcript of the gene named phosphoinositide-3-kinase interacting protein 1, with no coding region annotated. NCBI's taxonomy places the organism in Eukaryota, Metazoa, Chordata, Mammalia, Dermoptera, Cynocephalidae. The transcript is spliced from 7 exons. The record is from RefSeq and is a predicted model, not a curated record.
GUUGCAGCAAGCUAGCUGGGAAGCUCCCAGUUCUAAAGAGAGGCUGUUUACCAGAAGAGCAUAACAAGGGCAGGUCUGACUGCAAGGCUGGGACCCAAGGCAGAGCUGCCGCCAAGUGACCCCCGCUGGACACUGGUUGUUCAAUAACCUGCAGGACGAAGAAGGCGAGGAUGCUGUUGGCCUGGGUACAUACAUUCCUUGUCAGCAACAUGCUCCUGGCAGAAGCCUAUGGAUCUGGAGACUGCUUCUGGGACAACGGCCACCUGUACCGGACGGACCAGCCCUCGCCCGCGCCAGGCCUCCGCUGCCUUAACUGGCUGGACGCGCAGAGCGGUCUGGCGUUUGCCCCAGAGUCGGGCGCCGGCAACCACAACUACUGCCGGAACCCGGACAGGGACCCGCGCGGGCCCUGGUGCUACGUCAGCAGCGAGGCCGGCGCCCCUGAGAAGCGGCCUUGCGAGAACCUGCACUGCCCAGAGACCACUUCCCAGGCCACGCCGCCAGCUUCCACCACAGAAACCCAGGAGGUGUCUGAAGUGCCAGGCGAAGAUGAGGUGCAGGUGUUCGCUCCUGCCAACGCCCUGCCCGCCCGGAGUGAGGCGGCAGCAGUGCAGCCAGUGAUUGGCAUCAGCCAGCGGGUGCGGAUGAACUCCAAGGAGAAAAAGGACCUGGGAACUCUGGGCUAUGUGCUGGGCAUUACCAUGAUGGUGAUCAUCAUCGUCAUUGGAGCUGGCAUCGUCUUGGGCUACACCUACAAGAGGGGGAAGGAUUUGAAAGAGCAGCAUGAGCAGAAAGUGUGUGAGAGGGAAAUGCAGCGAAUCACCCUGCCCUUGUCUGCCUUCACCAACCCCACCUGUGAGAUCGUGGAUGAGAAGAUUGUCGUGGUCCACACCAGCCAAACUCCAGUCGACCUUCAGGAGGGCAGCACCCCCCUUAUGGGCCAGGCUGGCACUCCCGGGGCCUGAGCUCCUGCAGUGGGCAGGAGCCCAAGCAGACACUAGUACAGGACAGCCCGCCCUCCUACAGCUAGGAGGAUCUACGUUUUGUGUUGUGGUUAAAACCCUACUCCCACUUUUUUUUUUUUUUUUUUUGGUGAAUCCUAAUAACUGACACAAGCAGGUGGCGCUGUGGGCUGAGGGUGAGGCUGGGUAGGGUCCUAUCAAUGCUCCUUCUCCAUCCCUUGGAGCAGGAUUUUGCCCAUGGAUGGACAGCGGCAGCUCCCACAGUGGUGCUGCUGACAGGGGCUUCCAAACAUUGCCUGCGUCCCUGGAACUGGAUGGGGGACAGAUGGGGAGCUCCUCCAGGCUCAUCUGUGCUUUACUAUCUAAGAUGGCCUCAGUGUCCACCUUUCCAUCAGUUCUCCUUGGGCUUGAGUGGUAUACACUGUUAUUCAUAGUUAAGGUCAAGCAGGUCAAGAGGCAGCAUUGAAAAAUAUAAGUAUUUGGGACAGAACUCCCUACUGACCUCUGAGAACCAGAAAUGACUUUAUACAAAAGUCAGAACUUUGGGCAGGGAAUGGGAUCUAGGCUGGGGGCUGAUGGGUGUGCUCCAGCUUACUGGCAGUGAUGUGCCUUGACAACCAUGGGCCAGGCCUGGGCCCACGGACUCUUCCUGUUUCAUGAGGAAAGAAAGGGAAGAAUUGCACUGAACAUUCUACUUACGAAGAGGGUAAAGAAGGAUCUGCUCCUGCCUUAGGCCAUAGGGGCAGAGGUGGAUCGAGGUGCCCCAGAUAGUACCUCUUCAGGGGGUGACUUCUCUUCAUACUGCACAGGACCCCACUAGCCAGAUAGCAUCAUCCUGCCCAAAGGUCACUCCACAACAUCCCCUGUGUGCAGAAGCAAGAAGAAACAGGUCUUCUCUCAAGCACUUAUAGGAAAAUACAAGAGGUACGGUGACUUGCAGUCACUUCUCCCCAUCAGGAAGGUGGUACCCAGCCCUGUGGAGAGAAAGCCCAGGAUACCCAGGCUGUAGAAGUGUCAAUAUACUAGGAGGUAGGGGUGUGGGGCUCCAAAGGAAUGGUUCAGCUGGCAGGUGGAAGCCAGGCAGGGCAGGUUUGGGGGACCAAGAUGAGAUCCCACAAAGGGGCAAACCUGUCCCAGGGAAGAGGCUGCCAUGCUCAGGUGGGAUGGGCAUGUUCUCUGGAGCAGGCUGGUAUCUGCAUGAGAGGGAAUUAGACUUGGGAGCAUGAGAGCUCCCUCUUGUGACGAGUUAUGUGGCCUGGGCCUGAAGGUGGCCAGCAAUCCCUCUAUAUUUAUGUCCCUAAGCCAGGCCCCAAGUCAUUUUUUUCACUCUCAGUGUCAUCACUUACGUUAACUGCUUAAUUUAUUUAGUCUGCUCAAUGGCCCAGCUUAGGCCCACCACUCCCACGCUUGCUGGGGACAACCAGCCACACAACACUGAUCCGUGCUGCUGCUGGGAGUCCAGGGCUCAACCCUACAGCAAGCUUGCAAACUCCACACGUAAGUACAGUCUAUAUAGGAAGUAAACUCUGUUCAGAGAUGACAUCUGAUCCCAUAACUCAUCAGGUCUAUGUACAAAUAGUUCACAUAUCACCUAAUAGAUACAACAAGAUAAUAUUAACAGCAACCACUCUCCUAGAUCACUCCACCUCCACCCACCCCCAAUACAACCACCACACAUUGCAUUAAUACCCAAACCCAUUCCCAAUUUGUAAGCUCACAGACACUUAGGAGGAGGCAAAUCUAGUUAUGCUGAAGAGUCCCUGGAGCUCUGGGAGCUAAGGUGGAGGGUGCACCCACGGCUUUCUAGUGCCUGUGGCUAUGGCUCAGGAGGUUGUGGCCAGGAGCUAGUGAGCAGGGCCAGCCAACAAGGGAGGUAGAAGCCAGAUAGCCUAACUCAGGGAGCUAUUUCUCAGCAUCUCAGCUCUGGGACUCUGCCACCAUCUCUUUCCAGCUGAAGUUGCUGUCUAGACCUGGCAUGUCGAAAGGUUAGCAGUGGCUGCCACACGGACAAGAGAUUGCUGAGACUCCCAUUCCCCUGCCUCAGACUCUUAGGCCUGUGACAAGCCACACUGUCCUCCAGGACCCAUCUAGCUUUAGGUAAAAUGUCUCUGGCUUCUGACUGAGGAGCCCAGCCGGGUAUGAGUAACAGCAGCCACGAUAUGAGCUUUUUAGAGAGCAAGGCCUCUUUUCAGCUUCUUCCUGUGCUUGUGGGUGAUUGCUUGUUGCAGACAAAAAAGAUGUUGCCCAGAUGUUCUUAGGCAGUCUCUAGUAGGAUAGUUUGAGAACAUGAGGUGGAAGCUCCCCUCACAUUGAUGUGGUCCCUAGGCUGGGUAAAGCCACCCCCCGGGCAGGCAAGCAGAAACCAGCCCAUUCCUUGACUCCUGGCCAGUUCUACCACAUACUAAGGGACUCUUCAAAAUCUAUUCCUUCAACCUCCACCUCAGGGAGGGUGAGACCUGGAGUGGAAGGGGGGAGCAGCACUGUCAUUUCACACUCUUCCAGUGCCAUCUGGCCACCAGUCUUUGUCUCAUCCACACUCCCACUUGAAAUCCUCCUAUACCCAGCUGGAUUGGAGACUUCAGAACCCAGAGGCAGGUUCACCCUGGGAUCCUGCCCAGCAGGUCCAGGUCACGCUGAUUACUAUAAGCAAGAGCCUCCCAGAAUCCCAAUGCCAGGGAGUUCCUGAGUGGUCCCAAGUAACAGAAUCUUCCUGGCCCAGAGGACAGGCUUUUGUUCUUCUUCACAGCUUUCAGACAAGUCUUGGAUUUACAGACAAUAACCAGGCCUCAAAACCUGUGGAGAUAUGCUUCCCUAGUGCUGCGCCCGCUCGCCUCCUGGGGAGGUAGUAGGGAUGACUUGUUCUGCUUCUAAACAAGAUGCCAAUCCACAGGAAGCCUGGACGGCCCUGCUCAUAGCAGGGAUGAGGCACAGAGGGGGCAAUGCUGCUGUGGAACACCCCCCUGCAGGGGGCUGGGCUGGGGCUAGGGGGGUGAGUCCCGGGUCAGGCCGUACUGCAUGCUCACAGUGUGGUCCAGCUCCUCCAGCUCUGCAGGCAAUGGAAUGCCCAGCUCUCCCAGGUACAGGGAGAGGGCCUCAAAGGAGUCCUCCAGUUUUGAGAAUGCUGGUCUAGAAAGAAAAGGGGUGAAUUAGAAGCAGGUGGAAUAUGAGCAGGGCCAUGGGGUGGUGUGUGGAAGGAAUCCAGGCCUGCGGCUCAUACACAUUUCCUGGUGUAUGAUCUCAGGCAAACCCCUUAACCUUGUUGUGCGUCUGUGAGAAAUGGGCAUAAUGCAAUGUUACUGUUUCCUCAGAAGGUUGCUGUAAAAAUCAAAGGUAACACUGUGAGAUGGCUAGUUUGGCUAAAGGUGGUAGCUUAAAAAAAAAAAAAAAUAGGAGAAAAGAGGCCCCUCCCAUGUCUUAGAGAAAAUGCAAUCAUCAAAGGUAGGAUUGGACUAAGUGCCUUUUUACUUUUUUUAAUUUUUAAAUUUCUUUCUAAGUGCCUUUUUAAAGAACAUUUCCAGUCCUAAGACUUGCUGUUUCCACACCAAUGGAUCUGCCCAGGAAGUAUUACAAAGA